CGCUGUUACAGCGUGGUAGCAACAGGACCAAAACAGCAGAGAUGUUUAGCCUCACACUUUAAAGCUCUUAGUUGUUGCUGAAAUUGACCCACUAUGCUGUUUACUUUGUGCAUCUAUGUCAUAUCGUUGAAUUUACCUUUAAAACAGAACGACAAAACAGAAACAAAACCGAAAGUGAAAAAACUGCCUGAUUUGAGGAUCAAACCCACAAUGGAAGCUGUAAGCAAAGGUUUAAAGGAAAAUGUCAUAAUUUCAACCUCAUAUUCAUCAUCUCCAGCACGACCCCGACGUCAACAUAUGUGAAAACGGUGACCGGAGAUUCUCUCUACCACAUGCAAAUGCCUCCAUGGAGCUCAUAAGUAUAGCCUAUUUUGGUGGUUCACAAUAUCGGCCGACCAACCCCAAUUGGCACACCAUGAGGAGAGAAAGGUUGAU
RNAcentral lists this long non-coding RNA (435 nucleotides) under Salmo salar (Atlantic salmon). RNAcentral describes it as "lncRNA (ENSSSAG00000102175.1, ENSSSAG00075065117.1)". The record is from RNAcentral. Lineage: Eukaryota; Metazoa; Chordata; Actinopteri; Salmoniformes; Salmonidae.